GGCUCGGUGGUGGAUGGUCCACACCUGCAAUACAUGAACACUUGCCAAAUCGCUUGUAGGAGUAGCCCGUUCGAUUCGGGCCCGAGCCA
Non-coding RNA from Mycena leptocephala, 89 nucleotides. Lineage: Eukaryota; Fungi; Basidiomycota; Agaricomycetes; Agaricales; Mycenaceae. The record is from the annotation of a GenBank genome assembly.